This 565-nucleotide ribosomal RNA is filed under the name Herbaspirillum huttiense. RNAcentral describes it as "bacterial SSU rRNA". It matches the Rfam family "Bacterial small subunit ribosomal RNA", at positions 61 to 619 of the family's 1533-position model. Lineage: Bacteria; Pseudomonadati; Pseudomonadota; Betaproteobacteria; Burkholderiales; Oxalobacteraceae. The record is from RNAcentral.
GUCGAACGGCAGCAUAGGAGCUUGCUCCUGAUGGCGAGUGGCGAACGGGUGAGUAAUAUAUCGGAACGUGCCCUAGAGUGGGGGAUAACUAGUCGAAAGACUAGCUAAUACCGCAUACGAUCUACGGAUGAAAGUGGGGGAUCGCAAGACCUCAUGCUCCUGGAGCGGCCGAUAUCUGAUUAGCUAGUUGGUGGGGUAAAAGCCUACCAAGGCGACGAUCAGUAGCUGGUCUGAGAGGACGACCAGCCACACUGGGACUGAGACACGGCCCAGACUCCUACGGGAGGCAGCAGUGGGGAAUUUUGGACAAUGGGGGCCACCCUGAUCCAGCAAUGCCGCGUGAGUGAAGAAGGCCUUCGGGUUGUAAAGCUCUUUUGUCAGGGAAGAAACGGUAGUAGCUAAUAUCUAUUACUAAUGACGGUACCUGAAGAAUAAGCACCGGCUAACUACGUGCCAGCAGCCGCGGUAAUACGUAGGGUGCAAGCGUUAAUCGGAAUUACUGGGCGUAAAGCGUGCGCCGGCGGUUGUGUAAGUCAGAUGUGAAAUCCCCGGGCUCAACCUGGGA